UAGGUGGCAAGCGUUAUCCGGAUUUAUUGGGCGUAAAGCGAGCGCAGGCGGUUGCUUAGGUCUGAUGUGAAAGCCUUCGGCUUAACCGAAGAAGUGCAUCGGAAACCGGGCGACUUGAGUGCAGAAGAGGACAGUGGAACUCCAUGUGUAGCGGUGGAAUGCGUAGAUAUAUGGAAGAACACCAGUGGCGAAGGCGGCUGUCUGGUCUGCAACUGACGCCGAGGCUCGAAAGCAUGGGUAGCGAA
RNAcentral lists this ribosomal RNA (245 nucleotides) under uncultured bacterium. RNAcentral's name for it is "partial 16S ribosomal RNA". It matches the Rfam family "Bacterial small subunit ribosomal RNA", at positions 528 to 772 of the family's 1533-position model. The record is from RNAcentral.